This 746-nucleotide ribosomal RNA is filed under the name uncultured Parvimonas sp. RNAcentral's name for it is "bacterial SSU rRNA". It matches the Rfam family "Bacterial small subunit ribosomal RNA", at positions 28 to 776 of the family's 1533-position model. The record is from RNAcentral. Lineage: Bacteria; Bacillati; Bacillota; Tissierellia; Tissierellales; Peptoniphilaceae.
GACGAACGCUGGCGGCGUGCUUAACACAUGCAAGUCGAACGUGAUUUUUGUGGAAAGCCCUUCGGGGACGGAAAUGAAACGAAAGUGGCGAACGGGUGAGUAACACGUGAGCAACCUACCUUACACAGGGGGAUAGCCGUUGGAAACGACAAUUAAUACCGCAUGAGACCACAAAGCCACAUGGCUUAGGGGUAAAAGAUUUAUCGGUGUAAGAUGGGCUCGCGUCUGAUUAGCUAGUUGGAAGGGUAAAGGCCUACCAAGGCAACGAUCAGUAGCCGGUCUGAGAGGAUGAACGGCCACAUUGGAACUGAGACACGGUCCAAACUCCUACGGGAGGCAGCAGUGGGGAAUAUUGCACAAUGGGGGGAACCCUGAUGCAGCGACGCCGCGUGAGCGAAGAAGGUUUUCGAAUCGUAAAGCUCUGUCCUAUGAGAAGAUAAUGACGGUAUCAUAGGAGGAAGCCCCGGCUAAAUACGUGCCAGCAGCCGCGGUAAUACGUAUGGGGCGAGCGUUGUCCGGAAUUAUUGGGCGUAAAGGGUACGUAGGCGGCCUUUUAAGUCAGGUGUGAAAGCGUGAGGCUUAACCUCAUUAAGCACUUGAAACUGGAAGGCUUGAGUGAAGGAGAGGAAAGUGGAAUUCCUAGUGUAGCGGUGAAAUGCGUAGAUAUUAGGAGGAAUACCGGUGGCGAAGGCGACUUUCUGGACUUUUACUGACGCUCAGGUACGAAAGCGUGGGGAGCAAACAGG